AUAUAUAUACCUUAUGUAUAUAUAUAAAUAUAUAUCUUAUAUAUACUAUAUACUAUAUAAGGAUAUACUGGCUCUACAAAUCUCAUUAUGCUUUGGCUGAUGUCAGAGCUAGUUUACAUUCUAUACUUGUAAGGAUAUAAGGAAUCAGCUUAAACAUGCAAAAUAUAGCCGUCAUUGAAAAAUUGCCAUAUAUUUUCUCUAGAAUUUAAUAACAAGUUGGGUCAAAGUGCGGAGCUAUGAAACUGCAUCUAGCAUUGGUCUAUCUUACAAACUGUGCUAUAAUUAUUGGAAAGCCAUCUGUUUUAAAAUGAGGUGUUAUAUUUAUGCGUAAACUCUUUUUUAGUCUUUUUUGGAUACAUAGAAUUCUAGGAAGGAGGCUGUUCUCCUGGCCAAAAUGAAACACCCCAAAGUGUUGCCUUUAAAGAAUCAUUUGAAGCUGAAGGACAUCGGUAUAUUGUGAUGGAAUAUUGUGAUGGAGGGGACCUAAUGCAAAAGAUUAAACAUCAGAAAGGAAAGUUGUUUCCUGAAGAUACGAUAAGAGACUGACUUACAUAGUUUCCCUCAAGGUUUAGAAGCAACUUUUCUCCUAAAAUCUGUCAUUUAAAAGCACUGGUGUCUGAUUUCCUGAUGGACUAGUUAGAAAUGAUGUGUUUCUGUACCAGAGUGAUUGUUUAGUGUCAUCAGGGUAUAGCUGGAAUAAGAAAUGAAAUAGACAUGUUUACAAAGAAUCAAGGAAUAAAACUUCCAUGUUUAGAAGAAUCUCAAAAUUGUAUUUCUCAUCAUUUUCUGUCCUAGAUAUUUACAGUUUUGAUUGUGGUUGUGGUCACAUUUUGGGAGGCAGGUGAAUUUACUGUGUGUUACCAAAUCACCAGAGGAAUAGAACCUGCAUUUCUGUGUCUUGGGAGUACCUAGUCUCAAUCUUUUUCCUUCUGAAUUUCAGUGUGUUCCCUUAAGUCUAGUGCUUACUAACUUUUAGUGGAAAACUGCAUGCUAAAUAUCAUGGAACAACCUGACUAAGGGAAAUAUUUAAGUAAACACCUUUAAUGGUGCUGCAUUUGAUUUAAGUUAUAAUAACAUAUUAGGAAAGUAUAUUGGCAUAGAUAUUUUUCAUUUAGAAGUUGUGCUUUUAAAAAUAUGGGUUCCAUAGGAGGUCAGCCUUGGGCACAAAUGGAUGACUCUCCAUAGCAAAAAGGGGAAAAACAUCAGCUUGACAUUUAAUUAUAGGGCCCCUUGGAAUCUGGAGAUUCUGAGUACUGUUAACUGGAGCAUUAUGAGCUGAUCUCAAAGGACUGUUGAUGAUACAAUGAAAAAUUUAGUAACAUUUGAAUAUUAAGAAAAAGUAAAUGAAAAUCAUGUAAUGCUUGUCCUGUAAAAAGUUGUAGCAUAUUCAUUUCUUAGUGGUGAGCUACCUUCCUAUAUGUAUUCAAGAAAUACUUGUAUUUGGUUAAAUACAAUAAAACUAUAAUGAGCGUUCAUAUGUAAGAUACUGACUGACACGUGGGAUUCACAGCUUUCCCGAAUGUGCCAGGCCGCACUGAGUCUUAGUUGGACUGUGUAAUUUCCAGGAGUUCUGCACUCACAGUACAUAAAACGCAGGUCAACUGAGGCCCAAAGACAAUUCUUUGGAGUCUUGGGCUCACACGAGCCAGUGACUGCAUUCCUGCACAUCUGCAUCCUUUUUACUUACAGAUACUUAACUGGUUUGUGCAAAUGUGCCUUGGAGUGAAUCACAUUCACGAGAAAUGUGUGUUACACAGAGAUAUCAAGUCCAAGGUAAGUGGACCUAAAAAAACCCAAAACCAUUUCAUUCACUCUAUUCUCUGUUAUUCUGUUUCCUUCAGGGACAUUUUAUUUAUAGUCUAUAAUGCUUAGACUAGCCAAAUAAGGUACUACCUGAGAAGAAAUCAUUAAAUCUCUUUCAUAGUAGUGUUAACAUGUUCCAAGCUCUCUUAGUGACUGAUUACUAAGCCGUAUGUUCUCAGCUGGAAAAUGGUUGAGACCUGGGCCUGCCACGUGGAAUUAUUCUGACAGAGGGUCCCUGGCCGUCAAUCAGGCUCUGCUGAUACAGUCUGAAGCUCACCUGUUAGAUUUUUAAGCAGUCAUCGUGAAUUCCCAAGCAGGGGACCGUGUAGCUGUUGAGAGAGUAUCCUGUCUUUGUGUGUUCUGCUGGGGGACUCAGCUGUCGGUGUUCCUACCGCGCCUCUGUCAUCAGCAGGCUGUGAAAGAUGCUUCUCCAGAGACGUCUGCCUUAUGGAGGACAUCAUCUGAGCUCUUCUUUUCUUAAUGCAGAAUAUUUUCCUUACCCGAAAUGGAAAAGUAAAUCUAGGAGAUUUUGGAUCUGCCUGUCUUCUCUCCCAGUAUGUAUGUCUAUUCUAUGGCGGUAACAGUAAUCAAAACAUCCAUUAUUUAGGAAUGCUCUGUAAGUUGUCUUUGUCUCUUUUUGGUUUUAGUCCCAUGGCAUUUGCUUGUACAUAUGUGGGAACACUGUAUUACGUACCCCCAGAAAUUUGGGAAAACAUGCCUUGUAACAAUGAAAGCCUUUGAGCACCUCCCACUGCCCGUGGAUCAGCCGCAUCUCCCAGCCUGGCUCCCAGCGUCCUGGUCGCCCUGCGUUGUGCCCGGCAGCAUGACUGGCUUCCACCAAAGCUGUAGCGGUGUCCCGGAUGGUGGCAGCCGGUCCACAUCCCAGCUCAGCCCACCCCAAUGGUAAAUCAGUUCAUCCAGGGGAAAGCCAGUGCCCCACGCGCUCCCAGGCGGCAGCGGGAGAGAAAUGCCUCCAGUGCGGCUCUGGAAGCUGCGUCCAUGCUCGCCUCCAGCGGGACAGGGGAGGAGACAGGUGACCCUGUAGUCAAGUACACUGAACAUAAUGCCCAUAAGCAGUGGCUCAAGGAGACUCCAGAAACCUUGCUGAACAUCCUUAAGAAUGCCGAUCUCAGCUUGGCGUUUCAGACAUCCACGGUAUAUAGAUCAGGUUCAGAAGGGUUCUUAAAAGGCCCCCUGGCUGAAGAAACAGAGACAUCAGACAGUGUUGACAGAGGUCAUGAUUCUGUCAUUUUAAAUCCAGAGAGACUUGAGCCCAGGCUGGAUGAGGA
Long non-coding RNA from Manis pentadactyla (Chinese pangolin), 3092 nucleotides. RefSeq lists it as uncharacterized. The record is from RefSeq and is a predicted model, not a curated record. The transcript has 6 exons. Lineage: Eukaryota; Metazoa; Chordata; Mammalia; Pholidota; Manidae.